UGACACAGGUGCUGCAUGGCUGUCGUCAGCUCGUGUCGUGAGAUGUUGGGUUAAGUCCGUAACGAGCGCAACCCUUGUCCUUAGUUACCAGCACGUUAUGGUGGGCACUCUAAGGAGGACUGCCGGUGACAAACCGGAGGAAGGUGGGGGAUGACGUCAAGUCAUCAUGGCCCUUACGGCCUGGGCUACACACGUGCUACAAUGGUCGGUACAAAGGGUUGCCAAGCCGCGAGGUGGAGCUAAUCCCAUAAAACCGAUCGUAGUCCGGAUCGCAGUCUGCAACUCGACUGCGUGAAGUCGGAAUCGCUAGUAAUCGUGAAUCAGAAUGUCACGGUGAAUACGUUCCCGGGCCUU
This 354-nucleotide ribosomal RNA is filed under the name uncultured Pseudomonas sp. RNAcentral describes it as "bacterial SSU rRNA". It matches the Rfam family "Bacterial small subunit ribosomal RNA", at positions 1030 to 1382 of the family's 1533-position model. The record is from RNAcentral. Lineage: Bacteria; Pseudomonadati; Pseudomonadota; Gammaproteobacteria; Pseudomonadales; Pseudomonadaceae.